Molecule: long non-coding RNA, 789 nt
Filed under: Ornithorhynchus anatinus (platypus)
Lineage: Eukaryota; Metazoa; Chordata; Mammalia; Monotremata; Ornithorhynchidae
Description: lncRNA (ENSOANG00000036947.1)
Source: RNAcentral
CCUCCUCGUCCCCGCGGGCCCCGCCCCGCCCCGCCCCGCCAGCGAGGGCGCGCUGACGUCACCCGCCCCCUGCCCGGCCCCGCCCCCUCCGGGGCCCCGCCCCCCUCCGGGCCCCGCCCCCCCGCCCGCCCCCCCGCCCCCCGCCCGCCCCCCCGCCCGCCCCCUGCCGGCCGUCCGGGGCGCGUCCCGCGGCGGAGGGUCCGGGGGCGGAGGGUCCGGGGGCGGAGCGGCGGCGGGGCGGGGCGGGGCGGGGCGGAGCGGGGCGGAGCGGGGCGGCGGAGGGCGGGGGGCUGCGGAGAACGGCGGGCGCCCAGCGAAGAGGGCGUGUGGGGUGCGGGGCGCGGCGCGGCGCAGGUCGGAGCGGGACGCGUCGGAGCCCGGGCAGGGCGGUGAGGUCAGCGAGGAAUCGGUGGAUUCCCGGAGCUGAUGAGGUGAAGGGGACGCGAAGAGACGCCGCUCCUAAGCUGACGGUCCACUGGCAGGAGGUGGGACAGCUGAUGGGCAAGAGGGUGAAGGGAAUCUAGGCCUUUUUCUGGGGCACUGGUCCAGAUUGGGCCAAGGGGUCAUUUGGAGCCUCCUUCUGGAGGCCCCAGUCCUGGCAGUCCUCGUUGGUCCGGGUUCGGGGUGUCAGCGCAGGGGACUCAGUUGGACUCCCCCCAGACCGGACAAGGAGUCUGGUUAUUCUCUGCCGCUGGGCAGUUUUCCCCAAGAGACCCAGCUUUGGAACUGAGCGUUCACUGGGCUCCCGCGGGUGAGGCCCUUCGCGAAUCUUUCGGAACGAGGGUCUCA